AGGGCGUAUUUUUAUUGACAGAAUAAAAGAGAUACAUACUGCUAUUUAUGCGUUCUAUCAGACACACAUUCUUAAGUGUUCAGACUAUGUCUCAGGUCUUAAGGAGCUGAAGUUGUCCGUUCGUAAGAACCAGAGUCUCAUCCUGCCACACUGUUUCCCGUUAAGCAAUGGGGCAAAUUCCAUCUGCCUGGAAUGCUUUGGUUUAGCCGUUGGAGUGACAAACUGGAAAAUCAUUCGCAUUGAUUUGGCUCUGAUAGGAACAAAUGUUUCUUCAUUUUUCUUUCCUGCCCUCACUGUUCCCGCUGUGACUCUGCACCAACCUGGAAAAUUCACCCAAACUGUUAUGCAGUGAAGGCCUUCUGUCUGCCGGGAAACAGUCUUCGAAGACACUUCUUAACUCUGAGGCUCACAGUGGCGGCUCAGAUGCUAGAUGGAUGGUAGUGCCUUUCUGACACCACGCCCCACCCCUGCUACCUACUCCGCCGUGUGCCUCCUAAAGACAAAGAUGCUCCCCUACGCCCCCACCACCUGACUUUCCACGUCAGGAAAUCCACACUGACACAGCACAGCCAUCCCAUCCACAGACCUUGUUCAAAUGUCACCAACUGUCUCAACAGUGCCUCUUCUUCCUUCCCCUUGUAGGCUCCUACGCAGAGCACGCCUUCCAUUGAGUUGUCAGUCCCCUCAGCCUCCUUCUGUCUGGAACAGUUCCCAGUCUGCCCCUGUCCUAGUGUCCUGAGCUGACUUCAAGAGCACAAGCCCCGGCGAGAACACCACCAAAAUGACGCUGCGCUCUUCUCAGCACGUCACACCGGGAGGCUCACGCUGCCCACCCACCCCUCUGUGGAGUUGUUACCUCCAUCACCUCGUCACCUGUGUCUACCACUUCCUCCUUUGCAUUUGAUUAAUAUUUUAUGGGGAGAUAAUCCAAUUCAUCAAACUUCU
Molecule: long non-coding RNA, 945 nt
Filed under: Equus caballus (horse)
Lineage: Eukaryota; Metazoa; Chordata; Mammalia; Perissodactyla; Equidae
Description: lncRNA (ENSECAG00000059604.1)
Source: RNAcentral